This 366-nucleotide long non-coding RNA is filed under the name Equus caballus (horse). RNAcentral describes it as "lncRNA (ENSECAG00000058469.1)". The record is from RNAcentral. Lineage: Eukaryota; Metazoa; Chordata; Mammalia; Perissodactyla; Equidae.
UACAAACUUAUCUUUAGAAGUUAGAGGAGUAACGGGGGCAGAGAAGCAAUGUUUGGCAGAGCUUUCUGUCUGGUGAAGAAGACAGAUAAACAUUGCCAUUAGGAUAUAUUCUAACAAGCUCUACCACAUACAGAACCAGAGAGUGCUCAGAACACACAGGAGGGACACAUAAUCAAGAAUUGAGAGAAGGAGACAAAGGAUGACGUCCUGAAAGAAAUGAACCCCAAGUGAGAACCGGAAAGAUGAGCAGGGGCAAGCCCAGGAGUGGUCUGCGACCGCAGGGCAGAGUCAGGAGCAGAAGCCAUAGCAACAGACACGGAGAUGGAACUACCGAUUCCGAGACUGUUUUAUUGCUUUUAUGUAAAU